UGGGGAAUAUUGGACAAUGGGCGAAAGCCUGAUCCAGCCAUGCCGCGUGUGUGAAGAAGGCCUUAUGGUUGUAAAGCACUUUAAGCGAGGAGGAGGGUACUGGUAUUAAUACUACCAGGUACUGGACGUUACUCGCAGAAUAAGCACCGGCUAACUCUGUGCCAGCAGCCGCGGUAAUACAGAGGGUGCGAGCGUUAAUCGGAAUUACUGGGCGUAAAGCGCGCGUAGGUGGUUCGUUAAGUUGAAUGUGAAAGCCCCGGGCUCAACCUGGGAACUGCAUCCAAAACUGGCGAGCUAGAGUAGGGCAGAGGGUGGUGGAAUUUCCUGUGUAGCGGAGAAAUGCGUAGAUAUAGGAAGGAACACCAGUGGCGAAGGCGACCACCUGGGCUCAUACUGACACUGAGGUGCGAAAGCGUGGGGAGCAAACAGG
RNAcentral lists this ribosomal RNA (430 nucleotides) under Pseudomonadota bacterium. RNAcentral's name for it is "Proteobacteria bacterium partial 16S ribosomal RNA". It matches the Rfam family "Bacterial small subunit ribosomal RNA", at positions 355 to 776 of the family's 1533-position model. The record is from RNAcentral. Lineage: Bacteria; Pseudomonadati; Pseudomonadota.